Non-coding RNA from Coffea arabica (coffee), 2635 nucleotides. The record is from RefSeq and is a predicted model, not a curated record. NCBI's taxonomy places the organism in Eukaryota, Viridiplantae, Streptophyta, Magnoliopsida, Gentianales, Rubiaceae.
AAACCCCAAACCCCCACACCACCAAAGACCUCUCAUCCGGAGUCUAGGGACUGUGGUCACUCUCACAGAGUGAAAAGAAAAAGGAUAAGAAGGCGAUCGUACUGUGAGCCUGUUCAGAGAAAUGGCUUCAGUGCAAGCUACUUUGACACCAGCUGCAUGCAAGAAUGGGAACUAUUCUUCCCCGAUGAAGUUCUCGAAUAGCUCCUUCUUGCCUGGGUUUGAUGUGACCGGACAAAUUACUGGAAUAAGGAAGAAGGAUUCAUGGUCGACCCAUCUGUCUGGCGUUAGAGCCACUUUAACAUUUGAUCACCCUACAACCAAUAAGGAGAACUCCAAGCAAAGGAAGCACACUGUGGAUCCCAAUGCUCCUGAUUUCCUCCCUCUCCCAUCCUUCGAAGAAUGCUUCCCGAGGAGCUCCAAGGAAUACACGGAGGUUAUUCAUGGACAAUCUGGAAAUGUACUUAAAGUUCCUUUUCGACGUAUCCACCUAUCAGGGGAUGAACCUCAUUUUGAUGCUUAUGACACCAGUGGCCCCCAAGAUAUUAACCCCCACAGUGGUCUUCCCAAACUGCGCAAGGACUGGGUUGAUAGGAGGGAGAAACUCGGUGGGCCAAGAUACACACAAAUGUACUACGCUAAGCAGGGAAUCAUAACUGAAGAGAUGGCAUUUUGUGCUGCUCGUGAAAAUCUGGAGCCAGAAUUUGUGAGGUCAGAGGUUGCUCGUGGCCGUGCAAUCAUACCGUCAAACAAGAAGCACCUAGAGUUAGAGCCAAUGAUAGUUGGAAGAAAUUUCUUGGUGAAAGUCAAUGCUAAUAUUGGAAACUCUGCUGUUGUGAGUUCUAUCGAGGAAGAAGUACAUAAGCUUCAAUGGGCAACAAUGUGGGGUGCUGAUACCAUUAUGGAUCUCUCAACAGGUCGUCACAUUCAUGAAACUCGUGAGUGGAUCCUACGUAACUCUGCUGUACCUGUUGGUACAGUACCAAUCUAUCAAGCACUAGAAAAAGUGAAUGGUAUUGCUGAGAAUUUGAGCUGGGAAGUUUUCAGAGACACCUUAAUUGAGCAAGCAGAGCAAGGUGUAGAUUACUUCACCAUCCAUGCUGGAGUCCUUCUCCGUUACAUUCCGCUGACAGCAAAAAGAAUGACUGGAAUUGUUUCUCGUGGAGGUUCUAUUCAUGCAAAGUGGUGCUUAGCUUAUCACAAAGAGAAUUUUGCUUACGAACAUUGGGAUGAAAUAUUAGACAUAUGCAAUCAGUACGAUAUAUCCUUAUCGAUAGGUGAUGGUUUGAGGCCUGGAUCCAUUUAUGAUGCAAAUGACACUGCUCAGUUCGCAGAGCUCCUAACUCAAGGAGAAUUGACUCGUAGAGCUUGGGAGAAGGAUGUACAGGUCAUGAAUGAAGGACCUGGACAUAUUCCGAUGCACAAGAUUCCAGAGAACAUGCAAAAGCAGCUGGAAUGGUGUAAUGAAGCGCCUUUCUACACUCUUGGACCCCUGACAACUGAUAUUGCUCCUGGUUAUGAUCACAUCACCUCAGCAAUUGGUGCUGCCAAUAUUGGGGCUCUUGGUACUGCACUGCUCUGUUAUGUGACACCCAAAGAGCAUCUUGGCUUGCCUAAUCGAGAUGAUGUAAAGGCUGGAGUUAUAGCUUAUAAGAUAGCUGCACAUGCCGCUGAUUUAGCAAAAGGGCAUCCUCAUGCUCAAGCCUGGGAUGACGCACUGAGCAAGGCAAGAUUUGAGUUCCGUUGGAUGGACCAAUUUGCAUUGUCAUUGGACCCCAUGACUGCAAUGUCCUUCCAUGACGAAACCCUGCCAUCCGAAGGCGCUAAAGUGGCACAUUUCUGCUCUAUGUGUGGACCAAAAUUUUGCUCUAUGAAGAUCACUGAGGACGUCAGGAAAUAUGCGGAGCAGCACGGUUAUGGAAGUGCAGAGGAAGCUGUUAAGCGUGGGAUGGAUGCCAUGAGUGCUGAGUUCUUGGCUGCCAAGAAAACUGUGAGUGGGGAACAACAUGGUGAGAUUGGUGGAGAAAUCUACCUGCCUGAAACUUACGUGAAGUCUAUCAAAAUCUGAAGGAUAACCUAAAAAUUGGGAACUGGUUGUGGACUCCAUUGGCAUCAUCCUACUUUGGCUGGUUGAGAUCUUCCGGAGGGGUUAGGAUCUCCUUCUUAAGCAAUAGGGGUGUCUGUACCUGCCGGCACCAGCUAUUUUGUUAGGAUGUUUGGCAGGACAGGCUGAGAAAGUCCCUUUGAACCUGAACAGGAUAAUUCCUGCGUAGGGAGCGUGCAUUUUCUCUUCCGUUUUUUGUACAGGGAUGGAAGUUCAUCCUUGAUACGGCCUUGCCAAUCCAUGUGGGAUGGGUUUAGCUCCAUGGUCAGAACAUUUCUCAUGCCAGGCAAGUUGACUAGGAAAUGAUAAACUCCAACAUUUGCUGUGCCUUUUUCCCAGCAUACAGUUAGCCAAACUCCCUCGAUAUGUAGGUCGUAUACUAAAACCAUGUCUUCCCGCUCCAUUGAGCCAGAAUCAAGAGAAAACCUGAAAAUAUGUAUUUGCUCGAAGUAGCUAAGAAGGAAUAAGUGCUAAUCCAGUUUCUCAAAAGCCUGAAAUUUCUUGGUUAAACAAUUCAACUUGAGACUUUGAUUU